This is a long non-coding RNA of Vicia villosa (hairy vetch), 1354 nucleotides long. RefSeq lists it as uncharacterized. The transcript has 3 exons. The record is from RefSeq and is a predicted model, not a curated record. NCBI's taxonomy places the organism in Eukaryota, Viridiplantae, Streptophyta, Magnoliopsida, Fabales, Fabaceae.
AAUGCUAUUGCAACUUUUGCAAGACCUUGCCUUUAGUAGCAUUUUUUAAGAAAACACUAUUAAUAAGGCCUUUCUUUCCUACGAUUAUUUUCAGACGCACCUUUUUUCCUGUCAAGCGAAACAACUUCUGUUCGAAUAAUGGAAAAUGGAAACAGGAAGAAAAGCGGAAAAGUGAAAUGCAGCACUUUCAAAUCGAGGAAAACUACUUAUCGCGAAAAGGAAAAAACGCCAAAACGUGCUUGUUUCGAAGUGAUUCUCAAACGCGAUUCCAAAAUUAUCGGCAUGGUUUGAUUUUCUUAAUUUUCAGAUUUUGGUUUUAAGUUAUGGUGUUUUGGUAAGCUAUUUUACGGUUUCGACUCACUUACCGCUAUGUUAUAACUUAUGACUCUGAGUUGUUUUCUAUGCAAACUUGGUUGUGAAUUAAACAGAGAGCAUACAUAACGAUAAAUUUGCUGAGUAUUUUCCCGGAUGAAGCGAUGAGGAGAAUAAAAUGCAGCUUUUGAUCCUGCUCACGAAGUGUUCGAUAAAAUGCCUCUGCCGGCUCUUUCUUCUUUUUGCUUCUGUUUCAGUACAAUUCUUGCUACAACAUUGUUGUUGUGUCGUUGUUAUUUGUUGUUUUUGCAUGUUGUGGUUGACAAAUUGAUGAAGAAUUAGUGUUGAAUUUCGCUUCACAUUAUGCCCAUCAAAUGUUAGGUUAUGUGAAGAUCUUUAUGGAAAAAGAAGAAUGGUGCUUAUUGGAAGAUUAUGGUGAUUACAAAGUGUCAGAUAUUUAUGGCAUUUGAGGUUGUUCAUGGGAUCUUCCUAUUGUUGCUGCACAUGGGUGAGUAGUCAACUACUUGCAGGUUAUCAAAAUUUCAUCUCAAUUAACAUUAAUUCUAAAGUCUCAUGUUUUCUAUCAUGACAGAGUGGAGAUUAAAGUAUAUAAAUAAAUAACUUGUCUCUGAUAUGAAGUUUUUCUUUGUGAGGUUUUACAAGGACGAAGAAAAGAACGAUCCUGAGCAUGCAAAAAAGCUCGCCACACUAGCAGAUCUGUAAGUGAGGAUGGUUUUAGUACUGCUGAUAGGGCACAGGGCACAUGCAUAAACAGAGGGAGUCACUAAAUACUUGAAGCCAUCUUUUGCUGGUUUAUCUCUCCUUUUCUAUUAAAUAGUUAUCAUUAGCUUAUCUAUAAUGGUUUGACAUUUUCAAAUUUGAACUGAUGUUUUUUCAUGUUGAAUGUAAUUUUCCAGUAUCUAUCUGCAAGAAAGGAGCUGUCUGCAAGAAAGGAGCUUAUCUAUUGUAUCAUUAUUUUAGCUUAAUAAACAUUAAUUCUAAAGUCUCAAGAACCCUCAAAGGGACUUUAGUUUUAGCUUAA